GGAUAGCUGGUGUGGCCUGCUUUCACAAGAGGCGUCUCCCUGGAAGGGGAGGGCCAGUUCAGGUCCCCUUGAGUGGCUGGGCCAUAUUGUCAGCAGGCUCACCUCUAGAUUGCAGCAGGCAGCCUGGGAUGCCCACGCCUGCCAAGGAGGAGAUGACCUCAAGACAAGCAGCUUCCAUGCAAUACUGCAGCAAGGGCUUACUUUCCUGAGCAUUUCCCACGCUCCAAUCACUGCUCUAAUUCCUUUAGAUGUGUUAACUCACUUCCUGCUCACAAUACUUCUAUGAGGCACUCAGCAGCUGUUUCCUGAGCUGAUGUACAUCUCAUUAGUCUAUCAAGCUCCAACAGCCAAGGCCAAGGCCCCCAGAAUGAAAAACUGACGCAGCCACCCCUUCCUGUGCCAGAGACAGGAGAAGGGAGGGAGACUGACGGCCUUUGUUCUCUGAGCAAGACCGUAAAGCACUUCGCCUACAGGCCACAAGAGGGCGAUGGUGGUCCACACAUAAGAUCUUCCCAAAGAGCCAGCCAAAAACGCCUGCCUGGAGAAUCUGGAGGUUGUGAAAGGUGACUUUGUUAAGGAAGGGCGAUGGCCCUUCUCCCUGCCCCAGAGCUCUGAAAGCCUUUAAAGUGGCUUUAGCAGCGUGGUUUAAGAAUGGCUCCUUCGGUACAAGGACGGCCAUCACUGCUUCUCCUACUGUGUUUGAUGCCAGCGUUCUUCCCGUCUGCAGGGAAGGACGGAGAGUGAGGAGGGCACACAGGACGUAGCUGGCUCCUGGCCAUGGACGGUGACCGCUCUGGGGCCAGCAGGGUAGAGCUGCCUUCCUACAUCUGAGAACUCAAGGGCGAGAGGGAGGCAGGGCAGGGGAGAGGGUUGGUCUCAGUUCACAGGGCGACCCUCUGGCCCUGGUUCUGACGGCGACUCGCUGUGUAAGCUAAGGAGUGUCUCGCUCUGUACAGCGGGCAGGUGGUGGGUCUCUGCACGUCCAGCAUCUCCAGCUUUCCGUCCUCUGAGCUGUUUUGACAUGGGAGGCGCUGGCAGGGAGAGAGGGGUCACUGAUGUGGGAAGCUGGUGCAGAGCUGGGGAGUAGCUUGUGAUGCUGGAGAACCUGGAGAUGCCCCUCCCAUUCCUUGGGCCUCGACUGUCUCAUCUGUGGAAUGGGCGGGUCAGACUGGAUAAUCUCUAACCAUUGCUUCCCUUCACUUCUGUCCCAAUAAACACACACGGAGCUUUUUCGUUUGUCUUUUGUCUUUUUUUUUUUUUUUUUUUUUUUUUUAGAGACGAGGUCUCACUAUGUUGUUCCCCAGGUCUGAGUACAG
RNAcentral lists this long non-coding RNA (1316 nucleotides) under Homo sapiens (human). Its description in RNAcentral is "HSALNT0152967". Lineage: Eukaryota; Metazoa; Chordata; Mammalia; Primates; Hominidae. The record is from RNAcentral.